RNAcentral lists this RNase P RNA (447 nucleotides) under Corynebacterium sp. TAE3-ERU2. RNAcentral describes it as "RNase P RNA component class A". It matches the Rfam family "Bacterial RNase P class A". Rfam says of the family: Ribonuclease P (RNase P) is a ubiquitous endoribonuclease, found in archaea, bacteria and eukarya as well as chloroplasts and mitochondria. Its best characterised activity is the generation of mature 5'-ends of tRNAs by cleaving the 5'-leader elements of precursor-tRNAs. Cellular RNase Ps are ribonucleoproteins. The record is from RNAcentral. Lineage: Bacteria; Bacillati; Actinomycetota; Actinomycetes; Mycobacteriales; Corynebacteriaceae.
UGAGUCGGCUGGGUAAUCGCGGCGGGCGUAACUGCGCGGAAGCGUGUACGUCGCCUCGUCGAGGAAAGUCCGGACUCCACAGAGCACGGUGGUUGCUAACGGCAACCCAGGGCGACCUGCGGGAAUAGUGCCACAGAAAGGAAACCGCCUCCCAGCUGCACUGGAUGAUAUGCACUGGCAGGUAAGGGUGAAAGGGUGUGUUAAGAGCGCACCAGCGCCCGCAGUGAUGCGGGCGGCUAGGUAAACCCCACCGGGAGCAAGGCCGAAGGGCGCACCUCUGGUGUGCCUGCACACGGACAGCCACGUGAAAGGCUGAAGUUGCUCGACUUCUUGAGCCGUGUGGGUUGGCCGCGUGAGGCCCGUCAGCAAUGGCGGGUCCAGAUGGAUGAUUACCGCCCACGGCAGCAGCCGCGGGAACAGAAUCCGGCUCAUAGGCCGGCUCAUUCG